This 468-nucleotide ribosomal RNA is filed under the name uncultured bacterium. Its description in RNAcentral is "partial 16S ribosomal RNA". It matches the Rfam family "Bacterial small subunit ribosomal RNA", at positions 28 to 507 of the family's 1533-position model. The record is from RNAcentral.
GACGAACGCUGGCGGCGUGCUUAACACAUGCAAGUCGAACGGAAAGGCCCUGCUUUUGUGGGGUGCUCGAGUGGCGAACGGGUGAGUAACACGUGAGUAACCUGCCCUUGACUUUGGGAUAACUUCAGGAAACUGGGGCUAAUACCGGAUAGGAGCUCCUGCUGCAUGGUGGGGGUUGGAAAGUUUCGGCGGUUGGGGAUGGACUCGCGGCUUAUCAGCUUGUUGGUUGGGUAGUGGCUUACCAAGGCUUUGACGGGUAGCCGGCCUGAGAGGGUGACCGGCGACAUUGGGACUGAGAUACGGCCCAGACUCCUACGGGAGGCAGCAGUGGGGAAUAUUGCACAAUGGGCGGAAGCCUGAUGCAGCAACGCCGCGUGCGGGAUGACGGCCUUCGGGUUGUAAACCGCUUUCGCCUGUGACGAAGCGUGAGUGACGGUAAUGGGUAAAGAAGCACCGGCUAACUACGUG